GGAUUGUGGCUCGGUGGUAGAGUGCUCUACUAGCACCUGCAGGGCCCUGGGUUCGAUCCUCAGCACCA
This 68-nucleotide transfer RNA is filed under the name Marmota monax (woodchuck). RNAcentral describes it as "tRNA.Ala". The record is from RNAcentral. Lineage: Eukaryota; Metazoa; Chordata; Mammalia; Rodentia; Sciuridae.